GGGGGGGGGGGGGGGGGGGGGGUGGGGGGGGGGGGGGGACGGGGGGGGGGGGGCUGGCACCUGGGGGCGGGUGGCGGACGGGUGAGUGAUACAUCGGAAGCGGUCCGGUAGGGGGGGAUAGGCCGGGGAAAGGCGGAUCAAUACCGCGUACGGUGUACGGAUGCAAGCGGGGGACGCGCGGGGCGCGCGCCGGAGGGGUGGCUGAUGGCUGAUUAGCUGGUUGGGGGGGUAAAGGCCCAACAAGGCGACGAUCAGUAGCUGGGCUGAGAGGACGACCAGCCACACUGGGACUGAGACACGGCCCAGACUCCUACGGGAGGCAGCAGUGGGGAAUUUUGGACAAUGGGCGGAAGCCUGAUCCAGCAAUGCCGCGUGUGUGAAGAAGGCCUUCGGGUUGUAAAGCACUUUUGUCCGGAAAGAAAUCCUUGGCCCUAAUACGGUCGGGGGAUGACGGUACCGGAAGAAUAAGCACCGGCUAACUACGUG
This 486-nucleotide ribosomal RNA is filed under the name uncultured bacterium. Its description in RNAcentral is "partial 16S ribosomal RNA". The stretch from base 50 to 486 matches the Rfam family "Bacterial small subunit ribosomal RNA", at positions 39 to 507 of the family's 1533-position model. The record is from RNAcentral.